This 253-nucleotide ribosomal RNA is filed under the name uncultured bacterium. RNAcentral describes it as "partial 16S ribosomal RNA". It matches the Rfam family "Bacterial small subunit ribosomal RNA", at positions 524 to 776 of the family's 1533-position model. The record is from RNAcentral.
UACGGAGGGUGCAAGCGUUAUCCGGAUUCACUGGGUUUAAAGGGUGCGUAGGCGGACAGGUAAGUCAGUGGCGAAAUCUCCGAGCUUAACUCGGAAACUGCCUUUGAUACUCUCUGUCUUGAAUAUGGUGGAGGUAAGCGGAAUAUGUCAUGUAGCGGUGAAAUGCUUAGAGAUGACAUAGAACACCUAUUGCGAAGGCAGCUUACUACGCCUAUAUUGACGCUGAGGCACGAAAGCGUGGGGAUCAAACAGG